Molecule: unclassified non-coding RNA, 288 nt
Filed under: Hevea brasiliensis (rubber tree)
Lineage: Eukaryota; Viridiplantae; Streptophyta; Magnoliopsida; Malpighiales; Euphorbiaceae
Source: RNAcentral
UUCUGUUUACACGAUUUAUUUAGGGCACAAGCCCUUUAUCACAUUGUCUUACUUCUUACUGCCCUAAUGUGAUUAACUAAUGUUUGUCACAAAACUUCUUUGAGAUAGUAUAGUCAGUUUGAAAUUUAGGCCCAAAUGUGGCAAACUGAAAUGACAGUCUUUUGAAAGUCAGCCACUUUCUUUUUGCUCACUGCAAGUUGGAGUUUUGUUGAUGGAUCAUUUAGUUCAUUGGCCUUUUGCAUAUUGAACUUUUGUUGAUGAAUCUUAUAUGCCAUUAUCUUUUUGUAG